CCUACGGGAGGCAGCAGUGAGGAAUAUUGGUCAAUGGGCGCGAGCCUGAACCAGCCAAGUAGCGUGAAGGAUGACUGCCCUACGGGUUGUAAACUUCUUUUAUAAAGGAAUAAAGUGAGGCACGUGUGCCUUUUUGUAUGUACUUUAUGAAUAAGGAUCGGCUAACUCCGUGCCAGCAGCCGCGGGAAUACGGAGGAUCCGAGCGUUAUCCGGAUUUAUUGGGUUUAAAGGGAGCGGAGAUGGGUUGUUAAGUCAGUUGUGAAAGUUUGCGGCUCAACCGUAAAAUUGCAAUUGAUACUGGCAGACUUGAGUGCAGGUGAGGUGAGCGGAAUUCGAGGUGUAGCGGUGAAAUGCUUAGAUAUCACGAAGAACUCCGAUUGCGAAGGCAGCUUACUAAACUGCCACUGACGUUGAUGCUCGAAAGUGUGGGUAUCAAACAGGAUUAGAUACCCGAGUAGUC
RNAcentral lists this ribosomal RNA (460 nucleotides) under uncultured bacterium. RNAcentral describes it as "partial 16S ribosomal RNA". It matches the Rfam family "Bacterial small subunit ribosomal RNA", at positions 338 to 795 of the family's 1533-position model. The record is from RNAcentral.